UAAGAGAGAAGCCAAAAGUAGUGGGAGC
This 28-nucleotide small RNA is filed under the name Bombyx mori (domestic silkworm). RNAcentral describes it as "piRNA piR-bmo-1462011". The record is from RNAcentral. Lineage: Eukaryota; Metazoa; Arthropoda; Insecta; Lepidoptera; Bombycidae.